GAUGAACGCUGGCGGCGUGCCUAAUACAUGCAAGUCGAGCGAACAGACGAGGAGCUUGCUCCUCUGACGUUAGCGGCGGACGGGUGAGUAACACGUGGAUAACCUACCUAUAAGACUGGGAUAACUUCGGGAAACCGGAGCUAAUACCGGAUAAUAUAUUGAACCGCAUGGUUCAAUAGUGAAAGACGGUUUUGCUGUCACUUAUAGAUGGAUCCGCGCUGCAUUAGCUAGUUGGUAAGGUAACGGCUUACCAAGGCAACGAUGCGUAGCCGACCUGAGAGGGUGAUCGGCCACACUGGAACUGAGGCACGGUCCAGACUCCUACGGGAGGCAGCAGUAGGGAAUCUUCCGCAAUGGGCGAAAGCCUGACGGAGCAACGCCGCGUGAGUGAUGAAGGUCUUCGGAUCGUAAAACUCUGUUAUUAGGGAAGAACAAAUGUGUAAGUAACUAUGCACGUCUUGACGGUACCUAAUCAGAAAGCCACGGCUAACUACGUG
Molecule: ribosomal RNA, 497 nt
Filed under: uncultured bacterium
Lineage: Bacteria
Description: partial 16S ribosomal RNA
Rfam family: Bacterial small subunit ribosomal RNA
Source: RNAcentral